GGGCUUACCACGAGCACGGGGACCCCGGCGGCCAGCGAGUAGAGGAGCACGGGGGGCACGGCGCUGCUGUCCUCCGGGCCCGGGUAGGGUUUGCGGUAGGCGCUGUCGUGGCAGAAGAAGCCCUGCACGUUCACGGUGAACGUGUCCGUAUACUCGAAGUAGUACGCCAGCAUCACCGUCCCUGCCAUGAUCACCAUCUGGAAAUAGAGCAUGCUGCUGGUAUACCGAUGGCUGCAGCCUGAGCCAGUGACUUUAAGCCUUGGACAUCAAGCAGGCAAACCAGGCAAGAUUUUGACCUUGCUGCAUUACUGCAGCUUCCUGAUGAAUUCACUCACUUCCAAUGACAGCAGAAGGAUUACUCACACUGAUAAAGGAAAUUGGCGGAAGCUACCCAGAAGGGCCACACCUCCAAAAGGUUUUUUUAAGUACAUGAAACAUUGAUGCACGUGCCCCGCCUGGCUUGGAAGUCCAGGACCAAGGUUCCAGCUGUCUGGCUGCAUCCACAUAUGGAGGAAGGCAGAAGUAAUGUAUUGGAAUCCAGGAAAAACUGCAAUCCUUGGAAUGUACUUUAAUCUAGCUCUUCAGACUUCCUCUGAUCCUGCUUACUGUAUUUCACUUGGGGAAUUAAGUUAUCUGAAUUCAGUGCAACAUUGCAAGUCUCUCCCUGUUUGUGUUUGGAAGUUGUAGUCUCUGAAUGAAUGUAGGAACACUAGGAU
Molecule: long non-coding RNA, 716 nt
Filed under: Homo sapiens (human)
Lineage: Eukaryota; Metazoa; Chordata; Mammalia; Primates; Hominidae
Description: PLPPR5 antisense RNA 1
Source: RNAcentral